RNAcentral lists this transfer RNA (85 nucleotides) under Felis catus (domestic cat). It matches the Rfam family "tRNA". From Rfam's summary of the family: Transfer RNA (tRNA) molecules are approximately 80 nucleotides in length. Their secondary structure includes four short double-helical elements and three loops (D, anti-codon, and T loops). Lineage: Eukaryota; Metazoa; Chordata; Mammalia; Carnivora; Felidae. The record is from Rfam by way of RNAcentral.
GCCCGGGUGGCUCAGCCAGUUGAGCAUCUGACUUUGGCUCAGGUCAUGAUCUCACCGUCUGUGGGUUCGAGCCCCGCUUUGGGCU